UACGUAGGGGGCGAGCGUUAUCCGGAUUCACUGGGUGUAAAGGGAGCGUAGACGGCCAUGCAAGCCAGGGGUGAAAGCCCGGGGCCCAACCCCGGGACUGCCCUUGGAACUGUGCGGCUAGAGUGCGGGAGGGGCAGGCGGAAUUCCUAGUGUAGCGGUGAAAUGCGUAGAUAUUAGGAGGAACACCAGUGGCGAAGGCGGCUUACUGGACUGUAACUGACGUUGAGGCUCGAAAGCGUGGGUAGCAAACAGG
This 253-nucleotide ribosomal RNA is filed under the name uncultured bacterium. Its description in RNAcentral is "partial 16S ribosomal RNA". It matches the Rfam family "Bacterial small subunit ribosomal RNA", at positions 524 to 776 of the family's 1533-position model. The record is from RNAcentral.